UUAUAUUCUCCACUGGGGGGGAUGAGAACCCCCGACCGGGGUUCGACAACUGGUAACGCCAGUUGGACAGACCGCGAGCCUGCGAGCGGGCUGCCCCGCAGGGGCGAGCGAAGCGAGUCAAUCCCCCCCUCACCGCCA
Molecule: small RNA, 138 nt
Filed under: Klebsiella variicola
Lineage: Bacteria; Pseudomonadati; Pseudomonadota; Gammaproteobacteria; Enterobacterales; Enterobacteriaceae
Also listed under: 1 other name
Description: RtT sRNA
Rfam family: RtT RNA
About the family: This family represents a bacterial cis-regulatory element known as RtT RNA. The exact function of RtT is unknown although it is thought that it may be involved in changing the cellular response in relation to amino acid starvation.
Source: RNAcentral